GAGUAAUGCGUGACCAACCUGCCCCCAUGCUCCAGAAUAGCUCUUGGAAACGGAUGGUAAUGCUGGAUGCUCCAACUUGACGCAUGUCUUGUUGGGAAAGUGUUUAGUGGCAUGGGAUGGGGUCGCGUCCUAUCAGCUUGUAGGCGGGGUAAUGGCCCACCUAGGCUUCGACGGGUAGCCGGCCUGAGAGGGCGGACGGCCACAUUGGGACUGAGAUACGGCCCAGACUCCUACGGGAGGCAGCAGCU
RNAcentral lists this ribosomal RNA (248 nucleotides) under uncultured Gardnerella sp. Its description in RNAcentral is "partial 16S ribosomal RNA". It matches the Rfam family "Bacterial small subunit ribosomal RNA", at positions 108 to 355 of the family's 1533-position model. Lineage: Bacteria; Bacillati; Actinomycetota; Actinomycetes; Bifidobacteriales; Bifidobacteriaceae. The record is from RNAcentral.